GUCAGUCUCUUUGGUUUAACUCCACUGUGAGUCAGUGACAGCAGGACUGUAUUUCAUCACUGUGAGCCAGAAGAGUUUAGCAAAGAGGAAAAGGAAGAGGUGGAGCUGUUUGUUUAUAUAUAUAUAUAUAUAUAUAUAUAUAUAUAUAUAUAUAUAUAUAUACACACACACACCUCACUGCGUCUCUGACUGCUGAAGAAUGUACAGAUUCACAGGAGCGAGAGUUUUAUCAUCAGUGAAGAUGAUUAAGACCCUUCUCUUCUUCACAAUCUGUCUGAUUAAAGGUCACAUGGGUGAUGAUGCUGAUGCUGUCACUGGCAUCUCAGGAGGAAGUGUCAUCAUUCACUGUCUAUAUAACCCUGAAACAACUAAAGAAAGUGCAAAAAGCUUCUGCAAAGUGUCAGGCAGUGAAUGUACAACCAUGACAGAAGAAAAGAAAGAUUUAUGGAUCCCAGGCGAGAGAUUCUCUCUGACUGAUGAUAAAACUCUGCGUUUGAUUAGUGUGCUCAUUAGAAACCUGACUGUAAACGACAGCGGGACGUACAGAUGUAAAGCUGACAGUAAACUCAUUCAGCAGGAGAAAUUAGAAGUGACAGAAGGUAAGAAUGAAUAUUCACAUUAUUUCAUCUGUCACACCUUUACGUUUAACAUCUUUAUCCUGAGACUUCAUAUUCACCAACACAAUGUUACAUGA
RNAcentral lists this long non-coding RNA (694 nucleotides) under Carassius auratus (goldfish). RNAcentral describes it as "lncRNA (ENSCARG00000017312.1)". Lineage: Eukaryota; Metazoa; Chordata; Actinopteri; Cypriniformes; Cyprinidae. The record is from RNAcentral.